GAUGAACGCUGGCGGCGUGCCUAAUACAUGCAAGUCGAGCGAACGGACGAGAAGCUUGCUUCUCUGAUGUUAGCGGCGGACGGGUGAGUAACACGUGGAUAACCUACCUAUAAGACUGGGAUAACUUCGGGAAACCGUAGCUAAUACCGGAUAAUAUUUUGAACCGCAUGGUUCAAAAGUGAAAGACGGUCUUGCUGUCACUUAUAGAUGGAUCCGCGCUGCAUUAGCUAGUUGGUAAGGUAACGGCUUACCAAGGCAACGAUGCAUAGCCGACCUGAGAGGGUGAUCGGCCACACUGGAACUGAGACACGGUCCAGACUCCUACGGGAGGCAGCAGUAGGGAAUCUUCCGCAAUGGGCGAAAGCCUGACGGAGCAACACCGCGUGAGUGAUGAAGGUCUUCGGAUCGUAAAGCUCUGUUAUUAGGGAAGAACAUAUGUGUAAGAAACUGUGCACAUCUUGACGGUACCUAAUCAGAAAGCCACGGCUAACUACGUG
Molecule: ribosomal RNA, 497 nt
Filed under: uncultured bacterium
Lineage: Bacteria
Description: partial 16S ribosomal RNA
Rfam family: Bacterial small subunit ribosomal RNA
Source: RNAcentral